UAGGGAAUCUUCGGCAAUGGGGGGAACCCUGCCCGCGCAACGCCGCGUGAGUGAAGAAGGCUUUCGGAUCGUAAAGCUCUGUUGUUAAGGAAUAACUAGUGUGAGAAUGGAAAGUUCUUACUGUGACGGUACUUAACCAGAAAGGGACGGCUACCUACGUGCCAGCAGCCGCGGUAAUACGUAGGUCCCGAGCGUUGUCCGGAUUUAUUGGGCGUAAAGCGAGCGCAGGCGGUUAGAUAAGGCUGAAGUUAAAGGCAGUGGCUCAACCAUUGUAGGCGUUGAAAACUAUUUAACUUGAGUGCAGAAGGGAGGAGGGGAAUUCCAAGAAGAGCGGUGAAAUGCGAAGAUAUUUGGAGGAACACCGAUGGCGAAAGCGGCGCUAUGGACUGUAACUGACGCUGAGGCUCGAAAGCGUGGGGAGCGAACAGG
RNAcentral lists this ribosomal RNA (429 nucleotides) under Bacteroidota bacterium. RNAcentral describes it as "Bacteroidetes bacterium partial 16S ribosomal RNA". It matches the Rfam family "Bacterial small subunit ribosomal RNA", at positions 355 to 776 of the family's 1533-position model. Lineage: Bacteria; Pseudomonadati; Bacteroidota. The record is from RNAcentral.